This 826-nucleotide ribosomal RNA is filed under the name uncultured bacterium. RNAcentral's name for it is "bacterial SSU rRNA". It matches the Rfam family "Bacterial small subunit ribosomal RNA", at positions 631 to 1453 of the family's 1533-position model. The record is from RNAcentral.
UACGGGCUAACUAGAGUNCAGUAGGGGAGACUGGAAUUCCUGGUGUAGCGGUGGAAUGCGCAGAUAUCAGGAGGAACACCGAUGGCGAAGGCAGGUNUCUGGGCUGUAACUGACGCUGAGAAGCGAAAGCAUGGGGAGCGAACAGGAUUAGAUACCCUGGUAGUCCAUGCCGUAAACGUUGGGCACUAGGUGUGGGGGACAUUCCACGUUUUCCGCGCCGUAGCUAACGCAUUAAGUGCCCCGCCUGGGGAGUACGGCCGCAAGGCUAAAACUCAAAGAAAUUGACGGGGGCCCGCACAAGCGGCGGAGCAUGCGGAUUAAUUCGAUGCAACGCGAAGAACCUUACCAAGGCUUGACAUAUACUGGACUGCGUCAGAGAUGGCGUUUCCCUUCGGGGCUGGUAUACAGGUGGUGCAUGGUUGUCGUCAGCUCGUGUCGUGAGAUGUUGGGUUAAGUCCCGCAACGAGCGCAACCCUCGUUCUAUGUUGCCAGCACGUGAUGGUGGGGACUCAUAGGAGACUGCCGGGGUCAACUCGGAGGAAGGUGGGGAUGACGUCAAAUCAUCAUGCCCCUUAUGUCUUGGGCUUCACGCAUGCUACAAUGGCCGGUACAGAGGGUUGCGAUACUGUGAGGUGGAGCUAAUCCCUAAAAGCCGGUCUCAGUUCGGAUUGGGGUCUGCAACUCGACCCCAUGAAGUCGGAGUCGCUAGUAAUCGCAGAUCAGCAACGCUGCGGUGAAUACGUUCCCGGGCCUUGUACACACCGCCCGUCAAGUCGCGAAAGUUGGUAACACCCGAAGCCGGCGGCCUAACCCUGGUGGGGGGAGC